CCCCUCGCCGUGCGCCAUGACUGUGGAACGUGGUGCCGGGGAGGAGGGCCCGCCGCCGGGGGGCCGCCCGGGGCUGCUCCGCAUUGGUUGCAGAAACCCGAGCCCUGGAGUCGCUCCCCCUCCUUGGGCUUGUCUCCUCCUCCUGCUCUGCGGGGGAAAACCGCUGCACCCAAACUGAGAGCAGCUGCGAGCAAGGGGGCAGGGCCCCGGCUGGCAGGCUAGCCAAGGGUUCGAACCUCCCUCGGGGGUCGCUGGUCUCGGAGAGGGGCAUGGACCCGAACAAGACCUGGUCCCGGGGCGGCAGAUCAGGCCAGAACAUGGAGGUCAAAGGACAACUCGUCAGCAAUUGGUUCUCAUCUUCCACCAAGUGGGGUCCAGGGAUGGAACUCAGGUCAUCAGGCUUGGCCCAAUUCAUUGACAUGGUACCAGAUUUAAAUCAACAGCAAGAAGCCUCCUCUCCAAGCUCUACCCCGUCCACUCCAUUUUCCUGAAGCAGAAGCAAGCAGAUUCACAGGGGGAAGAUAUGGCCAACUGCUUUCCAGUGGAGGCCAUGAGAGACUCUUGAGACAUCCAUUUAAAUCUUUAUGUACAGAUCUCUUUUGCCUGCCCUGGCGGGGCCACCUUCUUACUCCCUCCCACCAUUACCC
This 647-nucleotide long non-coding RNA is filed under the name Cricetulus griseus (Chinese hamster). RNAcentral's name for it is "lncRNA (ENSCGRG00015036534.1)". Lineage: Eukaryota; Metazoa; Chordata; Mammalia; Rodentia; Cricetidae. The record is from RNAcentral.